Molecule: non-coding RNA, 1097 nt
Organism: Schizosaccharomyces pombe (fission yeast)
Lineage: Eukaryota; Fungi; Ascomycota; Schizosaccharomycetes; Schizosaccharomycetales; Schizosaccharomycetaceae
Source: the annotation of a GenBank genome assembly
UGGUUGUUUAUCGAAAUUUUUGCUAGUUGAAAUACAAAAUUUUUGUUUAAAUAUUAGUGCGAAAGAAUAAGGUCUGCAAAAAAGAAAAAAUGGUCUGUUUAUUAGAAAAAUAAGCGAAAGUUGUUUAAUGUUUAUACCUUUCAGUGCGCUUUUUCCAUUAGUAUAACUUAUUUUUCGUUUUCAACCCUCUUCUAUCGUUUUGAAAUUUUUUUUAUAUUAAUCGUACCAUCAUCAUUCUCUACUCGUUUCUUGAUGUUUUCGGCAAUGACAUACAUUUGAUUAUACAGCCAAACCCAGUGAAAUUGUGUUGGAGUGCAAAAUGUAUUACGACACGAUAUACUAUGCAAUUUUUUUUACCAACCGCGUAUAACGCAUACGGCGUAAUAAGCCGUUACCAUAUCGUUAUUUAAAAGUUUUAAUUAGAAAACAGCGUAAUAUAACGGAUAUGCACAAAAUGCGUUAGCAUUGAAAGCUAAUGAGGUCUUGUGUCUCCACACUCGAAAUUGCGGGGCUUGACUAAAUUCAAGAACAACAAAGAGAAAUGCCUGCUACAUAAGGGAUUUUGCCUGUGAAAUGUGCGCAGCAGAUAAAUGUAGAUCACGGAAAAAAUUUAAAGUAGCACUUGGAUAGUAUGAUGCGUUUACAAGGAAGUUGCUCAAACAGCAGAAUGUCUGGCUGUAAACAGGAAAAUGUCGCAGGGGGCGAAGUGAUAAAACUCAGGGUUUCAUGAAGUAAAAAGUUUUGAAAUUUUUUACUAAGGUCCAGAGUUGGCUGUUUUUGUAAAUUUUUAAUCAAGUUUGCAUGAUUGCUAAGUAAAAGUUGAAUGUCCUAAUUUGCUCGUCCGAAUGUGCUCUUUUUUUUUUUUCAGCGCACUCGUUAGACAGAUAAAGUGAAUGUUUUGCUAGGCCAUUUUCUCGUUCUAUUUUGCCUCGAUUGAAACGUGGUAUGUUUGCAGCUAAAAGGUAUGUACAGUUAAGCCCAGUGGAGACAAAGAUGAAAAGGAAGUAAAGCGAACUAUGAAGCGAAACUAUAAAGCAAAAACAGCUAGGUCGGGGAAAAUUUCUACAAGAAUUGCUUAAGUUCUAAAAAUUUAAGUG